Molecule: long non-coding RNA, 523 nt
Filed under: Elaeis guineensis (African oil palm)
Lineage: Eukaryota; Viridiplantae; Streptophyta; Magnoliopsida; Arecales; Arecaceae
Description: long non-coding RNA (EGUI_LNC010737)
Source: RNAcentral
AGAAAUUGGUUCCUGUGCUACCAGUUUAGGUUCGAACCUGUGGGGUCACACACAUUAGAGGUUCCUUUCUGAUCUGAUGGCUGAUUAUGAGUCUUAUCUGUCUGGGACUCUAUGAUUGAGAAUUAGGAUUCUCUGAUCAUGAGUUUCACAUAUUUUGGGUACCGGGGUCAAAAUUUUAAAUUUCAAAUUUUGAAUUUGAAAUUUGAAUUCUUUGAUCAGGGUUUCAUAUCGAUGGUCUCUGAUGCCUGAUUGCCCAUCGGAUUUGGAUUCAAUAUUUAUGAGAGGUUUAAUUAAUAAUUUGAUUAUUAAUUAACUCAAUUUGAUUGAGUAAUUAUUUUUGGAUCAAGUCCAAUUGAAUUGGAUUCAGUUUGGAUUGACCCGAUUAGGUUAAAUGUUGACCUAAUCGCUAAGGUGGUUUAGUCCCUGAUUUGAUCAGGGGUUAGAUUUAGUUAAUUCUUGAUUUAAUUAGAAUUUUAUUGAGCCUAAUUAAGCCUAAUUAUGUUGGGUUUAAUCUAUUCUAAUU